This 304-nucleotide long non-coding RNA is filed under the name Equus caballus (horse). RNAcentral describes it as "lncRNA (ENSECAG00000027963.3)". The record is from RNAcentral. Lineage: Eukaryota; Metazoa; Chordata; Mammalia; Perissodactyla; Equidae.
AAAGCCUGAUGGCCAGAAGGAACAGGGGAACAGUACAUGGCACAAAGCAGGUUGCAGAUAUCUUAACUAGGAGUGCUCCCAUGACGACAUAAUCAAGAUUAUACAUGUCAAGAUUUCAAGGAACAGAACUGGCAAACAUUUAAGGCUAAAAAUGUCACACAGAAAAAAUACGUUUUACUGAAUAUCCUGGUCAGGUGAGGCCACCAGUUUUGCUCUGAAGAUAGGGAAAGCCACAGGCAGUGGAAUCUGUUCAAGUGCCACUGUAAGCAGGUCUGUUGGAUGGGCCAUGCAGCUUCCCUCGUGC